This 253-nucleotide ribosomal RNA is filed under the name uncultured bacterium. RNAcentral describes it as "partial 16S ribosomal RNA". It matches the Rfam family "Bacterial small subunit ribosomal RNA", at positions 524 to 776 of the family's 1533-position model. The record is from RNAcentral.
UACGGGGGGGGCAAGCGUUGUUCGGAAUUACUGGGCGUAAAGGGCUCGUAGGCGGCCAACUAAGUCAGACGUGAAAUCCCUCGGCUUAACCGGGGAACUGCGUCUGAUACUGGGAGGCUUGAGUAUGGGAGAGGGAUGUAGAAUUCCAGGUGUAGCGGUGAAAUGCGUAGAUAUCUGGAGGAAUACCGGUGGCGAAGGCGGCAUCCUGGACCAUUACUGACGCUGAGGCGCGAAAGCUAGGGGAGCAAACGGG